Molecule: ribosomal RNA, 234 nt
Filed under: uncultured bacterium
Lineage: Bacteria
Description: partial 16S ribosomal RNA
Rfam family: Bacterial small subunit ribosomal RNA
Source: RNAcentral
CGGGACGGGUGAGUAAUGUCUGGGAAACGUGCCUGAUGGAGGGGGAUAACUACUGGAAACGGUAGCUAAUACCGCAUAACGUCGCAAGACCAAAGAGGGGGGACUUCGGGCCUCUUGCCAUCGGAUGUGCCCAGAUGGGAUUAGCUAGUAGGUGGGGUAAAGGCUCACCUAGGCGACGAUCCCUAGCUGGUCUGAGAGGAUGACCAGCCACACUGGAACUGAGACACGGUCCAG